RNAcentral lists this ribosomal RNA (781 nucleotides) under uncultured bacterium. Its description in RNAcentral is "bacterial SSU rRNA". It matches the Rfam family "Bacterial small subunit ribosomal RNA", at positions 38 to 816 of the family's 1533-position model. The record is from RNAcentral.
AGCGGCGUGCUUAACACAUGCAAGUCGAGCGGUAAGGCCUUUCGGGGUACACGAGCGGCGAACGGGUGAGUAACACGUGGGUGAUCUGCCCUGCACUUCGGGAUAAGCCUGGGAAACUGGGUCUAAUACCGGAUAUGACCUCCUAUCGCAUGGUGGGUGGUGGAAAGAUUUAUCGGUGCAGGAUGGGCCCGCGGCCUAUCAGCUUGUUGGUGGGGUAAUGGCCUACCAAGGCGACGACGGGUAGCCGACCUGAGAGGGUGACCGGCCACACUGGGACUGAGACACGGUCCAGACUCCUACGGGAGGCAGCAGUGGGGAAUUUUGGACAAUGGGGGCAACCCUGAUCCAGCCAUUCCGCGUGAGUGAAGAAGGCCUUCGGGUUGUAAAACUCUUUCGGCAGGAACGAAACGGUGAAGGCUAAUACCCUUUACUAAUGACGGUACCUGAAGAAGAAGCACCGGCUAACUACGUGCCAGCAGCCGCGGUAAUACGUAGGGUGCGAGCGUUAAUCGGAAUUACUGGGCGUAAAGCGUGCGCAGGCGGCUCUAUAAGACAGAUGUGAAAUCCCCGGGCUUAACCUGGGAACUGCGUUUGUGACUGUAGGGCUAGAGUGUGGCAGAGGGGGGUGGAAUUCCACGUGUAGCAGUGAAAUGCGUAGAGAUGUGGAGGAACACCGAUGGCGAAGGCAGCCCCCUGGGUUAACACUGACGCUCAUGCACGAAAGCGUGGGUAGCAAACAGGAUUAGAUACCCUGGUAGUCCACGCCCUAGACGAUGCGAAC